This 645-nucleotide ribosomal RNA is filed under the name Vairimorpha bombi. Its description in RNAcentral is "LSU rRNA". It matches the Rfam family "Eukaryotic large subunit ribosomal RNA", at positions 1307 to 2288 of the family's 3401-position model. The record is from RNAcentral. Lineage: Eukaryota; Fungi; Microsporidia; Nosematidae.
UAUUGUAUAAAAUGGAAGAAGAUUACUACUUUUAUGAGAUGUUUCUGUAUAUAUUCAGGUAGCUGUGCAAUUUGUUUGUAUUGAAGUAUAUAUGUGAGUAUGUAUUGAAGAAACAAAUGAGCCGAUCUUGGAGGCAGUAACAAUAUAUUUGUAUAGAUAUAGACUAGGGUUUUCAAUGACUAUUGAAGUGAAUCGGUGUUAACAUAAAAACAAAGAAGAUUAAUAGUUCUUCAUUUAAUUACUCUAAGACGACUUGAUAAUGACGGUAUAUCAUGUUAUCUAAGAAAAAUGAAUUAGAUGAUGACGUAACUAUGGAUUGUCAUGAUAAGAAAUAGUUAUCUGUAUAUACNUGAUAAAAAAGAAGUAAUUUAACCGUACCUAUACCGCAUCAGGUGUCUUUGUAUCAUAACAAAUAUUUUAAAUUAAAGUAAGUAAGGGAAUUCGGCAAAUUAGAUCUGUAACCUUGGGAUAAAGAUUGGCUCUAGCAUGCUAGAACUUUUACUAUGUAAGGAAUCUGACUGUUUAUUAAAAACAUAGCUUUUUGUUGUUACAAGAAGUGAAUUCUGCCCAGUGCAUUUAUUGUUAAAGUUGUGUAAGCGAAUGUAAACGGCGGGAGUAACUAUGACUCUCUUAAGGUAGCCAAAU